Schizosaccharomyces pombe (fission yeast) is the source of this 819-nucleotide non-coding RNA. The record is from the annotation of a GenBank genome assembly. Lineage: Eukaryota; Fungi; Ascomycota; Schizosaccharomycetes; Schizosaccharomycetales; Schizosaccharomycetaceae.
GCCGGGUGCGCCUUCUGAUUCUCCGUAUCUGUUAAUGAGGUUGAACCUUGCUUCUGGGAGGAGGCAGAUGAGACAGUGUGUGUAAAAUUUGGAGCAGAAGAUGAGGCAGCGUCUAAAGUAUCUACCGUCUGUUCUGAAUUUGGUAUAGUGGGAUUUUCCGUUGCUCCGAUAGGAGAAGGGGAAAAGGAGUUCACUUCUGAGAUCCAAGGCUUAUUUGCAGAAAAAUCUGCAUUCAAAGCGGGACUAGAUCCUUUUAACGGAUUAAUUUUUGUAUUUAAACCAACUUCCAAACGGUUGUUUUCGGGUGCCAUAGAAGGUGCAUCAGAAAAUUGCAAGGGACCUAAAGGUGCAGAAUCCAAAGUUAACGUUUCAAACGGAAGAGAUUUCAAAUUGACGCUUCGUUUCCUAGGAGAUGUAUAGAUAUGAGUUUUUGGUGGAGAAGCUUGAACAUUCGGCGACUCUUCUUCCACUCCUUCAGCUGAGGGCUCUUGGUCGGUUUUUGGAGGGUUCAGUGGAGAAACGGAAUCUGCGAAUGGAUUAAAUGCAUCGUCUUCUUCAUAUAUAUUAUGCCCAAGCAUGAUGGUGGCCGGUUGGGUUUUUGGAUCUGAUCACUGAAAUCGUGCCUGAAAUGGUGAUGCGCAGCCCAACGACGACUAGCGAAAAAUAACGAUGGUUAAAUACGUUUAGCAAUGCGGGGUGACUUGCGGUGCAACUAGAUAAGUGUCAACAAUUCAAGUUUCUAAUUCCUUUUAAGGCUACAUUAAAUUAUAUUUAGCUUGUAGAAGCAGUAUAUUGCGUUAUACAGUAUUGUGAGUGGUG